GGCUCUGGAGUAUCAGCCUAAGUUGAUUGACAAUAAUAAUAAAAUUCCUUUGCAAGAUAUGAACGAACCAGACAGGAUGAUGCAACCUAUUGAUGCUGUAAUUGAUCUUACUGAGACUGAUGCCCAUAGCUACAAAGCAAAAAGCCCACAAAACAAG
Amphimedon queenslandica is the source of this 157-nucleotide long non-coding RNA. RefSeq lists it as uncharacterized. The transcript is spliced from 4 exons. The record is from RefSeq and is a predicted model, not a curated record. Lineage: Eukaryota; Metazoa; Porifera; Demospongiae; Haplosclerida; Niphatidae.